GAUGAACGCUAGCGACAGGCUUAACACAUGCAAGUCGAGGGGCAGCAGGGGAGUAGCAAUACUCCCGCUGGCGACCGGCGCACGGGUGAGUAACACGUAUGCAACCUGCCCUUGUCAGGGGGAUAAGCGGAAGAAAUUCCGUCUAAUACCGCAUAACGCUGCGGGGAGACAUCUCCCUGCAGCCAAAGAUUUAUCGGACAAGGAUGGGCAUGCGGCGCAUUAGCUUGUUGGCGGGGUAACGGCCCACCAAGGCGACGAUGCGUAGGGGUUCUGAGAGGAAGGUCCCCCACACUGGUACUGAGACACGGACCAGACUCCUACGGGAGGCAGCAGUGAGGAAUAUUGGUCAAUGGCCGGGAGGCUGAACCAGCCAAGUCGCGUGAGGGAAGACGGUCCUAUGGAUUGUAAACCUCUUUUGUCAGGGAGCAAAAACUGCCACGCGUGGCAGGAUGAGAGUACCUGAAGAAAAAGCAUCGGCUAACUCCGUGCCAGCAGCCGCGGUAAUACGGAGGAUGCGAGCGUUAUCCGGAUUUAUUGGGUUUAAAGGGUGCGUAGGCGGACAGUUAAGUCAGCGGUAAAAUUGAGAGGCUCAACCUCUUCCCGCCGUUGAAACUGAUUGUCUUGAGUGGGCGAGAAGUAUGCGGAAUACGUGGUGUAGCGGUGAAAUGCAUAGAUAUCACGCAGAACUCCGAUUGCGAAGGCAGCAUACCGGCGCCCAACUGACGCUGAAGCACGAAAGCGUGGGUAUCGAACAGGAUUAGAUACCCUGGUAGUCCACGCAGUAAACGAUGAAUACUAAUUGUUCGGGUCGAGUGAGAUCUGAGUGAUACAGCGAAAGCGUUAAGUAUUCCACCUGGGGAGUACGCCGGCAACGGUGAAACUCAAAGGAAUUGACGGGGGCCCGCACAAGCGGAGGAACAUGUGGUUUAAUUCGAUGAUACGCGAGGAACCUUACCCGGGCUCAAACGACACAGGAAUGAUCUGAGAAAUCAGGCAGUCCUUCGGGACCUGUGUCGAGGUGCUGCAUGGUUGUCGUCAGCUCGUGCCGUGAGGUGUCGGCUUAAGUGCCAUAACGAGCGCAACCCCCAUCGACAGUUGCCAGCAGGUCAAGCUGGGCACUCUGUCGAGACUGCCGGCGCGAGCUGUGAGGAAGGCGGGGAUGACGUCAAAUCAGCACGGCCCUUACGUCCGGGGCGACACACGUGUUACAAUGGCAGGUACAGCGGGAAGCCACCUGGCGACAGGGAGCGGAACCCGAAAGCCUGUCUCAGUUCGGAUUGGAGUCUGCAACUCGACUCCAUGAAGCUGGAUUCGCUAGUAAUCGCGCAUCAGCCACGGCGCGGUGAAUACGUUCCCGGGCCU
This 1362-nucleotide ribosomal RNA is filed under the name uncultured bacterium. Its description in RNAcentral is "16S ribosomal RNA". It matches the Rfam family "Bacterial small subunit ribosomal RNA", at positions 28 to 1381 of the family's 1533-position model. The record is from RNAcentral.